RNAcentral lists this long non-coding RNA (3072 nucleotides) under Sus scrofa (pig). RNAcentral's name for it is "lncRNA (ENSSSCG00060066745.1)". The record is from RNAcentral. Lineage: Eukaryota; Metazoa; Chordata; Mammalia; Artiodactyla; Suidae.
ACAGCCUCGCCUGAUUUAACCCGGGCAGGUCCCUCCCUCGCGGCCGGGGAUCCCUGCAAGGGGGAAGCAGGGGCUCUGUCCAGAGGGACUCCGGCCAGGGGCCGCGUGUACACUCCCGCCGUCCCCCCUCCUCCGCGCCCGCCCCGCUGAGGCUCCAGCAGAGGCCCAGCUGCGAGGGCUAAGAGCUGUUUCUUGACGCAGAUGAAAAGCACAGCUUCAGCUCCCUCAUGCUCCCAGCGAAAGACGCUGCUGCCUAGCUGGGUGCCCUCCCUCCCAUCAGGGCCCACCUGGCAGCAGUGGGUCAAGGGGGCGGCCUGUGGCCCAGCAGGCAGGACCAGAAGGCCUGGCCUGGGGUCACCAAGCCCUUCCCACAACACCCCCAACUCCACGGAAACCCAGAGCCACUCGGGCCAGUGUUUCAGGCUGUGAGUGGCAGGUGUCAGCUGUUGCGCCAUCGUUAGCUGGUGGCUGGCGCUGCCGGCCCUGCCUAUGGCUGUAGGUUAUUGUCGGGCUGGUAGAACCCACAGGAGCCCAGAGCCCCUGCCCCAGGGAUGCCCCAGCUGGAGGAGGCGCCUCUGAUAUGCCUGAAAGCCACACCGAGUCACCUGUGCAUGCAGGCGGACGCUCGGAGACCCCGGGGGACUGCGUGGAAGGGAGAUCUGUCCCUCAGCCCCUCUCGGCCGUGGGGUCCGCCCACCCUAACUGUGGUCACAAGGUUUCAGUGAUGUGGACAGUGGCUGUGAUGGGAGGUGCUGGCUGUACCUGAGACACUGCGCCCACGACACCAUCAGGUUUGCCAGCGGGUCCUGGGACUGGUCUGUCGGGUUUGGGGCAAGUCCCGCGCUCUCCCGCAGCCUCAGCUGGUGCACGUGCAAGGUGGGGGAAGAGCCCCUCCAAGCCAGCAGCUCCGAGGCCCUUUCCCCUCCCAGCCCAGGCCCUGGCCGCUGGCCAGCGCGGAGGGGUCCCUGCCAGCCACUCCUCUUGUGGGCAGGUGGCAGAUAACGUUUCAGGUUUCCCUGGAAACUGGAAGGCAGGAUGCAGACGAGUCUGGGGUUUGGUAACCGCGCCUCUCCCGGAAUAACCAGAGAAGCCCAGGGCAACGGUAACCUAACUCUAGUCCUUGGGGGGCCGGGCCCUCUCCUCGGUCCAGGACCAGGGCCUCCCGGGAGAGAGGAGACCGAGGAGGCACGACUGGAGGGCCCCUCCCUGGGCCUCGGCUCUCACCUGUGCGAUGCUGACGCCGCCUCGGCCUCGACAGGAAGGAGGGAACCCGGAGCAGCGUCUGCAAAGGGCGGAAAGAAACAGCCCCCAGACUCCCAGCGUUUCUUUCUUGGGAACAUUGACAGGGAGGUCACAGGCACGCGGAGAUGCCAACAGCAGCUCAGUCACGUGACCUUGCACAAACAGAACUAAGCUGUAGCGGCUCACGGGCCGGGUGAAGCCCUGGCACAAAGGGCACUCAGUGAGGGGCUGGCACCCGGACAGGCAGCCAGGCCAAGGAGGAGAGCCCAGAGCGGGAAGGAGAGCCCAAUCAGGGAAGGCUUCCAGGGGGCGAUGGCCCCGGGAUGGGCCUAAAGGACGGGCAGGAGGCUGGGCUGGGCUGGGGGUUGGGGUUGCUCUGGGGUGUCCCUUGGCCCAUGGAAUUCUUUUCCCCAGAUACUCUCUGCUCCCUGGGCCUUGGCUUCAAGGUCCCCUCCCCUCCCCUCAGGCCAGAUCAUCUGGGCUGGUUCACUUUGGCUGCUGGAGGCAGGACUGUGUUGUGCUGGCUGUGCCCCAGGAGUCCAGCCCAGGGCCUGGUAUGUCCUGGCAGCUCCAGAAAUAUUUGUCCAGUUGAUGCUUGACCAGCAGGCUGGCAGAGCAGCUGAGACCCCAUCCUCUAGGCCGGCUUUACUGACUUGGGAGCCGGGCCCUUCGGCUAAAAAUAUGUAAGGUUUUGCCUUGGAGGCUCCUGGGCCCAGUCUCAGCACUACUGCCUAAACACUCUGUGACUGUGGUCAAGCCAGACUCUUCUCUGAGCCUUGGUUUCCCUUGUGUUUCAGGGAGCCGCCUGCUCCCCACCCUUGAUCAGAGCCGGGCAUACAGCAGGUGCUCAGCAGGGGCAGAAAACACCAUUACUGCACUCAAGUCCAUGUGGAAAGGAUCGGGCGGCUCUGAGUCUCAGAGACAGAGGCAGGGCCGCGGCCGCCAGCUGCAGGGGGAUACGGGGCAUCUGGAGGCCUCCAGCUGACCGGCACUGCCCGUGCGACCCUUCUUUGAUGCUUGUUUGGACUCAGGUCUUGUGACCAGGGAGACACCACAGGCUGCCUGGACUGCCCCCUGCUCCACCCGGAGGCCACCAGCUGCAUCAACAUUUCCUUCUGUUUGUAAACAAACUGUCUGCUGGUGGUUUGCUCCUUGCCCCACUGACAAGGUAGGGCAAGCUCAGGCAGCCUGGGAGCAUCGGCAGCAGAUUGAGAGGGCCUUGGGCGGUUGCCUGGGGGCCCAGGCCCUGAGCAGAAUGUCCGUGAGCUGCCUAGGGGGAUUCACAGAGGCAUAGUGAGCCAUGGAGAGACGCCUCCUCCAGGAAGAGGGCAGUGGUUCAGGGACAGGAUGGGUCCUAUAGGUAAACUCCCCUAGGUUUGCACUACUCAAGGGGGAGGAUAAAGCUGACACUUGAGGCACAGUCAUAGAAGCUACCACUUCUCUUUCUUUUCUUCUCUAUUUUCUUUUGGCUGCACCUGUGGCAUGUGGAAGUUCCUGAGCCAGGGAUUGAACCCAUGUCACAGCAGCGCCCCAAGCUACAGCAAUGACAGUGUUGGAUUCUUAGCCCACUUCACCAUAAGGGAACUCCAGAAACUUCCUUUUUUGGAGAGCAUCACAUCUCUCAAUGCUCAUGACAGCACUGCAAAUGGGACGAUUUCUUCCAUUGUAUAGAUGAAGAAACUGAGACCAAGAGAGGAGAAUCGAUCUGCCCAUGUUAAAUGGGAGCUUCAGGCUCUGAACUCCAGGGAGAGACUGUUCUUUCUUGAUUCCCUGUGUGUGGAAUGGUCUUGCUGCAUAACAGGUGCUCAAUAAAUAUUUGUGGAAUGAGUG